Molecule: ribosomal RNA, 383 nt
Filed under: uncultured bacterium
Lineage: Bacteria
Description: partial 16S ribosomal RNA
Rfam family: Bacterial small subunit ribosomal RNA
Source: RNAcentral
UGGGGAAUUUUGGACAAUGGGCGAAAGCCUGAUCCAGCAAUGCCGCGUGUGUGAAGAAGGCCUUCGGGUUGUAAAGCACUUUUGUCCGGAAAGAAAUCCUUGGCUCUAAUACAGUCGGGGGAUGACGGUACCGGAAGAAUAAGCACCGGCUAACUACGUGCCAGCAGCCGCGGUAAUACGUAGGGUGCAAGCGUUAAUCGGAAUUACUGGGCGUAAAGCGUGCGCAGGCGGUUUGCUAAGACCGAUGUGAAAUCCCCGGGCUCAACCUGGGAACUGCAUUGGUGACUGGCAGGCUAGAGUAUGGCAGGAGGGGGGUAGAAUUCCACGUGUAGCAGUGAAAUGCGUAGGGAUGUGGAGGAAUACCGAUGGCGAAGGCAGCCCCC